This 303-nucleotide ribosomal RNA is filed under the name uncultured bacterium. RNAcentral's name for it is "partial 16S ribosomal RNA". It matches the Rfam family "Bacterial small subunit ribosomal RNA", at positions 507 to 809 of the family's 1533-position model. The record is from RNAcentral.
AGCAGUAGCCACGGGAAAACGGAGGGUGCAAGCGUUAUCCGGAUUUAUUGGGUUUAAAGGGUCCGUAGGCGGAUCUGUAAGUCAGUGGUGAAAUCUCACAGCUUAACUGUGAAACUGCCAUUGAUACUGCAGGUCUUGAGUAAAUUUGAAGUGGCUGGAAUAAGUAGUGUAGCGGUGAAAUGCAUAGAUAUUACUUAGAACACCAAUUGCGAAGGCAGGUCACUAAGAUUUAACUGACGCUGAUGGACGAAAGCGUGGGGAGCGAACAGGAUUAGAUACCCCCGUAGUCCCUGUCUCUUAUAA